CAAACUUUUCAGCUUGUCUAAUAGAUUCUCGAGUCCCCAUUCGACGUGCUGGCUGAGGUCUGUGACACUUGUCUAAUUGAUUCUCGAGUCCCCAUUCGACGUGCUGGCUGAGGUCUGUGACGCUUGUCUAAUAGAUUCUCGAGUCCCCAUUCGACGUGCUGGCUGAGGUCUGUG
Dermacentor andersoni is the source of this 174-nucleotide non-coding RNA. The record is from RefSeq and is a predicted model, not a curated record. Lineage: Eukaryota; Metazoa; Arthropoda; Arachnida; Ixodida; Ixodidae.